Non-coding RNA from Microcebus murinus (gray mouse lemur), 411 nucleotides. The record is from RefSeq and is a predicted model, not a curated record. Lineage: Eukaryota; Metazoa; Chordata; Mammalia; Primates; Cheirogaleidae.
CAGAGCAAGAGCUCUGGAGUCACACUAACCUGGGUUCAAAUCCCCAGUGCUCCCCUUCCCGGCCUGUGACCUCGGGGACCCUGCCUUUGUGUGGCUGGUGGUUUAUGAAGGAGGACGGUACAGGAACGGGUGCCAGCAGCUUGUGGGGAGCACUAAAUGAGCGAGUGCAUGUAAAAUGCCUGCCACGCAGCAGGUGCCCGCCAUAGGAUCAUCUGACUCCAAGGAACCCAUCUACACCUAGCAGAGAGGAUAAACCAUCACUUAGAGAUUGAGGCAGCCACUGAACGAGAUUCUGUGGUGGUCUCUCUUGUAACAGAUUUAUUUUCAGGCUGGCUGUCAUCAUGCUAGCAACAUGACUUCUGUGAUUCUAGACCUCACACCCUCACCACCACAUCUGAGAAAGGGAGGAAU